UACGGAGGGGGCGAGCGUUAUUCGGAAUUAUUGGGCGUAAAGGGCGCGUAGGCGGCUGUACAAGUCAAAGGUGAAAUCCCUCGGCUCAACUGAGGAACUGCCUUUGAAACUGUACGGCUUGAGGCCGGGAGGGGGUAGCGGAAUUCCCAGUGUAGCGGUGAAAUGCGUAGAUAUCAGGAGGAACACCGAUGGCGAAGGCAGCUUUCUGGUCUAAGACUGACGCUGAGGUGCGAAAGCGUGGGGAGCGAACGGG
RNAcentral lists this ribosomal RNA (253 nucleotides) under uncultured bacterium. RNAcentral's name for it is "partial 16S ribosomal RNA". It matches the Rfam family "Bacterial small subunit ribosomal RNA", at positions 524 to 776 of the family's 1533-position model. The record is from RNAcentral.